This 497-nucleotide ribosomal RNA is filed under the name uncultured bacterium. RNAcentral's name for it is "partial 16S ribosomal RNA". It matches the Rfam family "Bacterial small subunit ribosomal RNA", at positions 28 to 507 of the family's 1533-position model. The record is from RNAcentral.
GAUGAACGCUGGCGGCGUGCCUAAUACAUGCAAGUCGAGCGAACAGACGAGGAGCUUGCUCCUCUGACGUUAGCGGCGGACGGGUGAGUAACACGUGGAUAACCUACCUAUAAGACUGGGAUAACUUCGGGAAACCGGAGCUAAUACCGGAUAAUAUAUUGAACCGCAUGGUUCAAUAGUGAAAGACGGUUUUGCUGUCACUUAUCGAUGGAUCCGCGCCGCAUUAGCUAGUUGGUAAGGUAACGGCUUACCAAGGCAACGAUGCGUAGCCGACCUGAGAGGGUGAUCGGCCACACUGGAACGGAGACACGGUCCAGACUCCUACGGGAGGCAGCAGUAGGGAAUCUUCCGCAAUGGGCGAAAGCCUGACGGAGCAACGCCGCGUGAGUGAUGAAGGUCUUCGGAUCGUAAAACUCUGUUAUUAGGGAAGAACAAAUGUGUAAGUAACUAUGCACGUCUUGACGGUACCUAAUCAGAAAGCCACGGCUAACUACGUG